GUAGAGCUUCAUCCUGGUAGUGCCUAACGCAAAGAUGCAGCAUGCUUUCACUUCUGAUCUUCACCCGAGCUGCUUCAGGUUUCACCUGAACAAGCUUCUUGAUGACCUGAAUGUGGCCUUUGAUCACUGCUAGCAGCCAGAUGAAGAGGAGAUGAUCUUCGUGAAUCCAACUCUCUGGCCAUUUCUGGGUUCCGGGUUAAGAUCUCCUUUACAAACUCCACAUGCCCAAGCAUGGCAGCAACAUGCAGAGGUGUCUCCUUGAAACAGCCGGAAACAACUCUGUGAAGAGCAAGUCUAUCUUCUUCAAGCAACCUCAGCAUGGAAGGCAGCAACCUCAGCGAUCUCCAGCCUAGAUGGACCACGACAAUCAUUUCGUACAUGCAACUUGCAAGUAUGCACAAAGAUGUAAUAGCAUUCCACAGAAUCACCUAGAAAAUCCACAUAAACACCCAGCGCUCUAAGCAUCACCUCCAAUUUCUUUUUUUUGGUGGGUACCACUUGCUGUGCGGAAGCUCAAUGGACCCCAGCUAAUUCAAGGUAGCUCUCCCAUUCUUGCAUUUUUACCAUUCAUAAGACUUGUACUCGAUAUUUUACUUAAAGGGAAGAGAUGCCAAACCACUUGAACCGAUCCGCAUUGGUUGCAUCACCUCUACCUCCAUUUUAAUGAUUGACUCUUAUUCAUCUCUGCAUAAUGAAAGGAAAAACCUUGCUUUCUAUCCAUAAAUAAAUACGGAAAUGAGCUUCCUGUAUUCUUGUCUCUUAUUAAUUUGAAGGUCGAGAUUUGGGGAAAACACAUUAGAAGGUCAUGAUGUGUAUGUGAUUGUGAACGGGGUUUUUGGGGUCCUUGAAAGUAUCAAAGAUUGCCUACUUUAAUUGAUUUUCUAGAAGUCAAUGGUGGGUCCUAAAUUCCUAAACGUUGUAAUAAAUCAUUGGCUUUGGAAAAUCAUGAGCGGAUCAGCCAAUUGGUGAAAAUUCUAAAGCGGUGAGCGAGAUGGUCAAUGCAUUGGUGCUGCAGCAUGAAGUGUUCCGGUUUAAAACAUCUUUGGAAUGAAGUAAUUCGAUCCUACCGCAAAGUAAAAACAUUAAAGAGAAAACGGUCCGCCAUAUGUUAAUUCCAUUACGCUUUGUUUGGUUUGAGGGGGAAAAAAGUGGAAGGGAAGGCAUUGUUUAGCUUUGACAUUUUAAAAAAGG
Punica granatum (pomegranate) is the source of this 1191-nucleotide non-coding RNA. The record is from RefSeq and is a predicted model, not a curated record. Lineage: Eukaryota; Viridiplantae; Streptophyta; Magnoliopsida; Myrtales; Lythraceae.